This 1399-nucleotide ribosomal RNA is filed under the name uncultured bacterium. Its description in RNAcentral is "bacterial SSU rRNA". It matches the Rfam family "Bacterial small subunit ribosomal RNA". The record is from RNAcentral.
AGAGUUUGAUCCUGGCUCAGGAUGAACGCUUGCGGCGUGCUUAACACAUGCAAGUCGAACGGGGAUGCCAUUUUUGAAGCGAUUAGCUUGCUAAGAGUGGAAAUGUUGGCAUCUUAGUGGCGGACGGGUGAGUAACGCGUGGGGAACCUGCCCUGUACAGGGGGAUAACACUUAGAAAUAGGUGCUAAUACCGCAUAAGCGCACAGUAUCGCAUGAUACAGUGUGAAAAACUCCGGUGGUACAGGAUGGACCCGCGUCUGAUUAGCUGGUUGGCGGGGUAACGGCCCACCAAGGCGACGAUCAGUAGCCGGCCUGAGAGGGUGAACGGCCACAUUGGGACUGAGACACGGCCCAAACUCCUACGGGAGGCAGCAGUGGGGAAUAUUGGACAAUGGGGGGAACCCUGAUCCAGCGACGCCGCGUGAGUGAAGAAGUAUUUCGGUAUGUAAAGCUCUAUCAGCAGGGAAGAAAAUGACGGUACCUGACUAAGAAGCCCCGGCUAACUACGUGCCAGCAGCCGCGGUAAUACGUAGGGGGCAAGCGUUAUCCGGAUUUACUGGGUGUAAAGGGAGCGUAGACGGUGCAGCAAGUCUGAUGUGAAAGGUCGGGGCCCAACCCCGGGACUGCAUUGGAAACUGUUGAACUGGAGUACAGGAGAGGUAAGCGGAAUUCCUAGUGUAGCGGUGAAAUGCGUAGAUAUUAGGAGGAACACCAGUGGCGAAGGCGGCUUACUGGACUGUAACUGACGUUGAGGCUCGAAAGCGUGGGGAGCAAACAGGAAUAGAUACCCUGGUAGUCCACGCCGUAAACGAUGAUCACUAGGUGUCGGUGGGCAUGGGCCCAUCGGUGCCGCAGCAAACGCAAUAAGUGAUCCACCUGGGGAGUAUGUUCGCAAGAAUGAAACUCAAAGGAAUUGACGGGGGCCCGCACAAGCGGUGGAGUAUGUGGUUUAAUUCGAAGCAACGCGAAGAACCUUACCAGGGCUUGACAUCCUACUAACGAAACAGAGAUGUAUCAGGUGCCCUUCGGGGAAAGUAGAGACAGGUGGUGCAUGGUUGUCGUCAGCUCGUGUCGUGAGAUGUUGGGUUAAGUCCCGCAACGAGCGCAACCCUUAUUGUUAGUUGCUACGCAAGAGCACUCUAGCGAGACUGCCGUUGACAAAACGGAGGAAGGUGGGGAGGAGGUCAAAUCAUCAUGCCCCUUACGUCCUGGGCCACACACGUACUACAAUGGCGGCCAACGAAGAGAGGCAAGACCGCGAGGUGGAGCAAAUCUCAAAAAGCCGUCCCAGUUCGGAUCGCAGGCUGCAACCCGCCUGCGUGAAGUUGGAAUCGCUAGUAAUCGCGGAUCAGCAUGCCGCGGUGAAUACGUUCCCGGGCCUUGUACUCACCGCCCGUCA